CGGUGAAUACGUUCCCGGACCUUGUACACACCGCCCGUCAAGCCAUGGAAGCUGGGUGUACCUAAAGUCGGUAACCGCAAGGAGCCGCCGUAGGGUAAAACUAGUAACUGGGGCU
Molecule: ribosomal RNA, 115 nt
Filed under: uncultured bacterium
Lineage: Bacteria
Description: partial 16S ribosomal RNA
Rfam family: Bacterial small subunit ribosomal RNA
Source: RNAcentral